GAUGAAUUUGACUCUAGUUUUCAUGUAAAUGGUUUUUGUGUGAAUUAUUAUAUGUAAGUUAUGGCGGGUUAAAUUAUUUCUAAAGGAUUAGAUUUUAAUUAAUUAUAUUAAAAAUUCGCAAUUCUUAGUAUUGUUAUAUUUAAUGAUUUAAGAUUCAUUUAUCCAAUAGUUGGCUAGCAAAAAUUGUGCCAGCAGCUGCGGUUACACAGUUGGCCAAAUCAUUUAGUUCUAGCUUGGUAUUGAAAUUGUUUAUAUAUUAAUGAGUAAAGUUAGUUUAGGGUGAAAUCUGACUAGUGUUGUUAUUUAAAGAAGAGAUUAAAUUAUAUGAUACCUGUUAAAAGACUAGGAUUAGAUACCCUAUUAUAUCAGGUUUAAAGAUUUUUAAGGUUAUAGUAUUGUUAGUAGGUUCUUUAAAUUAAAAGAGUUUGACGGUAAUUUAUCAUUCUAGAGGAACCUGUUCUUUAAUCGAUGAUCCACGAUAAAUUUUACUUUGAUCAUUGUUUAUAUAUCUCUGUUUGUUGAGUGUUUUAUAAGGAUUAUAUUCUCAUUUUCUCUUUAUGGGGUAAUGUCAGGUCAAGGUGUAGCAUAUAUUGAAGGUUGAAAUGGGUUACAUUAAUGUUUGUAAUUUUGGAUUAAGUAAGGUGUAUAUCUAGUUUAUGAAAUAGGAUUUAGUAGUAAGGCAUAUUAUGUUUUAUGCUUGACUUUUGCUCUUAGUUAAGUACACAUCGCCCGUCACUCCCGCCAAAAAGGUGGGAUAAGUCGUAACAAAGUAGGCCUACCGGAAGGUGGGCCUGGAAUUAA
This 801-nucleotide non-coding RNA is filed under the name Scaptocoris castanea. Lineage: Eukaryota; Metazoa; Arthropoda; Insecta; Hemiptera; Cydnidae. The record is from RNAcentral.